UAGACGAGGCAGACAUUGACAAACCAGGAUAGUUAUGCCUGAAACGUGUUUCUCUCUGUAGAUACACUUGUACAGAGCAAUUCAGAUGGUGGGAGCAUGAAGACAUCCUUGAAUGAAGAUGCCUGCAAACACAGAGCCAGAAAGGCCUUUUCACAGCUCUUGGAGUUUCCUAUCAGAUAAGUUGUUUUCGCCAAACCAUUUUCAGUCUCUCCAAAUUUUGGAAUGACUGAGGAGAUUUAUCACUCAGAAAAGUUUCCUGAUAAUCUACUCAACAAGUUAUCACCCUCUAUUAGAAAUGGAUAGUUCCCUUUUACAGUUCACUGGCAUUUACUGCUCCCACUGAGAGAUUUCUGGCAGUCUUGGAAUAAUACGAGAUCCAUGUGGAAGCUCAGCUAAUACAAGACAGGGAAAUAACAACUUUUAGCUGAAACGAGCAUCAUAAAGUCACAGUUUUUCAAGUUUUAGAGCACUUGAACUUCGUAUGACAAACCACAGCUGAGGUCUUAUCUGAAACUAUGAACGAGGCACCUUUCUGGCAAGUCCUGCCAUAAACACUCAAGUGUUUGAUGCUAUCAUUGGUGCUAUUCUUGUCUCUUGGGAUGAGUCACCAGAAACAUUUGUCAUACCUCUGUACACAGACGAAGGCUAAGGAGACAGACUACCAAGUAUCCAGUAUCAUGGGUGGUUAAGUUUAGUAAAAUAUUUUACUUCAGGCUGUUUCUCAGAUUGAUGCCUGGACUUUGACAGCAGUGUUGGGAGCCACAUCCAGUCAGUGGUGGCACGCUUGAGUGCGUGCAGGUGCAAAACAAGUGACCACACCUGCCAGUGCUGAGUUACCAGUAUGCAUCUUUUUCUUCUUUAAACAAUUUAGGCACCUAAGGAAGCGCCUCAUCUGCACCCAGGCAGAGCAAAGACAUUUUGGACACUGGCCUUUUGAGGGUCUUUGGGAGAUGUAGCAUCCUAGAUACUAUGCUGUCACAUAAACAGCACACAUUGUCACAGGACUUUGAAUGAUCUGGUUGGGGCUACGUGUCAGACGUAGGCAGCUUUGUGGUCUGUCUCCCUCAGGCCUCUGACUCACAAUUUUCAGAAAACUAGGCUCUUCAGGUUGAUUGAGAAUGCAAAGUGACUUUGAUUCAGUGUCUUUAGAAUAAAAAGGAAGAAGAAUGGUGCAUGAUUCCAACAGGAUUUAUGGAUUAAAGGUGUCUUUUAAUACCUGCAUUAACCACAAGAUAGUUUCCUGGGGAACUGUUCUGUCUCCUUCACAUGGAACAGUUGAUGCAUUUUGCCUCACUAAGAGAAUAGGUAUUUCUAUACUUCUCACAGCAGCACAAGAGGGCUUCAGUACCCUCUUUAGGUUUAUGAAUCUCAGUGUGCAAUGUUUAUCAUUGCUAAAUAUAGAUGUGAAAAACAUCUAUCCAUUUAAUGGUAUUUAAAACACAAUGGCUCUUCAGCCUCUUCAGAUUUCCUCCUGUUUCAAGUGGGGAAAAAUAUUCAGUUGCUGUAUGUUUGUUGCCUCAGAAAGAUGUCUGCAUCUGCAGUAAAAUCAUAAAUGCUUGAUUGCCUGAACUUUUAUAAAUAGUGUCCUUUUGCCCACUGCAGAGGUGAUUACUUCAUUAGCCCAAGAUACAGAGCUAAAAUAAACAUGAUAUACAGUGAGGCUGUUCUGAUUUUGGCUGGAUUCUCAGUCUGUGGGGUCUCUUUUACUCUGGGAAACCUAAGGUAUUUUUUCUGUUUGCAGUAGCAGUGAUAACUUACUUCACAGAGGACAGAAAGCUUGCGUUGAACUUGAUUUCAAAACAUUGUUUAAUCUUGGGGCACUAUCUAGACUGGUUUCUGUUUCAGCUGAGGUUCAAGUUCACGUCCCUUCGAUGCCGUAACUGGAGCAUGCCGGCCAGGCUGACGCAGGAACUUCAUUCACUUGUGUUGUCAUUCUUGUUCCUUCUGCUGAUCUGGAACGUCUUGUUAUCUCAGCAGAGAUGACACACAAACGGACCACGAAGAUCAAAUCAAGUGGGUGAAAACCCCGAUGCCAGUGCUGACCCUCAGCAAUUCACAUGGUAUUUGAAAUUGACAUUAUCCACUGGACAUGGUCCUGGACAACCUGCUCUAGGUGACUCUGCCUGAGCUGGGGAUUGGACAAGAUGACCUCCAGAGAUCCCUUCCAACCUCAACUAUCCCGUGAUUCUGUGAAGUCCACCUUUCCCCAAGAAUCAAAGCCUUCCACUUAUUUUUCUAUGAUUAAAAGUAGCAAGAUUCCUGUAUCAGAUAUAUUUAUGUUCUCUUUCAUCAACAGAUGCUGAAGAUACGUGAGAAUUUUUAAAUUAUAUUUGAAAAAAACAUAGAAGAAAUAUUAAUAGCAUCUCAGCAGUUCUUUGCCUCUUCCAAUUAUUCAUUAUGUCAACUGAGAGCUGUUUUCUUCUUUUGCCAGUUAUGGUACAUUUAUUUAAUUUCUGUAGGAAACUGGUUUUAAUAUUUCAAGAUUCAGCUUGUUUUUUUCCUCCUACAGUCUUUUUUUUUUUUUUAAACAAUAUUAUUACAUGGUAUCCCUUCCCAGCGAAGGAGAAGGAAUAUCAAGCCUUUCUCUGUUCAUUGCCAGUGUCAGUGGAACUGCAUCCCCAGGGCCACUCAAGCAGAUAAAAGAGCUGUUCAUCAUGGGAGUCUCUGUUCUAAGGCCGGUUGCUUUGAUAACUGUUUUUCUGGUCCUCCAAAGCUUUCUGCCUUGUAUCUUCAGAUCUCUCUAGGCUCUGUUUCUUCUCAAAGAUCAUCUUCAGCAUUGCACAUAUUGUCUUCACCCAUGAAAUAUAGCACUACACAAAGCUAACAAGCUUCCAAAAUGUUAUUUAUAUGACCAUUUACAGUAGUGCUUCUGGAGUGAUUUGAUUUUUUUUUCCCCACAUCCAAAACAUCCCAGCAACGGGCAAAAAAUUGCAUCAAAUAUCAAAGAGGUGUUGAAUUUUCAGCAGUAAGCUAAUUGCUGUGUGAUCUUUUCUCCAUGCUUCUAAUGCUAAAAAGCUAAAGGUUUCCCAGGUACUGCAAGAAAAGAUUUGUCAGCCUUUGGAGAAUUUUCCCAUGUGCAGCUGUGGGAGGACUAAACUACAAAUUUGCUGUAAAUUCUUAAAGACAACAUGCAAAAUUCUCUCUUCAAGUGCUGCAAGAGUGGAAAUAAUUCAUCUUCCUGGAAGAACUGCAGCACCAUUCCAAAGACUCAGAAUCUUCAGCUGAAAGAGCUAGGAAUUUGGGAGAAAUGGGCUAUUUCUCUGAAGAAUCCUUACUGUUUGAAAGAGCAUGCUCACUAUGGAUGUCGUCAUUUUUCCUCAUCAUCUACAGGACUCCAGGACACGCACAGGAGGGAAGCAUUUCAAGUAAAUCACCCCAGCCUGACUUCAAAGGAAAGUGAUCUGGACAAGAUGUGCCACAGGGUUUAACAUCUGUGCCGUUCCUAUAAAGCAUUGUUUUGUCCUUCAUACUUAGCGAGGA
Long non-coding RNA from Apus apus (common swift), 3480 nucleotides. RefSeq lists it as uncharacterized. The transcript is spliced from 4 exons. NCBI's taxonomy places the organism in Eukaryota, Metazoa, Chordata, Aves, Apodiformes, Apodidae. The record is from RefSeq and is a predicted model, not a curated record.